Molecule: microRNA precursor, 77 nt
Filed under: Tursiops truncatus (common bottlenose dolphin)
Lineage: Eukaryota; Metazoa; Chordata; Mammalia; Artiodactyla; Delphinidae
Description: miRNA (ENSTTRG00000022932.1)
Source: RNAcentral
ACCUCAGAGAUCCUGUUUCAAGAGGUCUGGGGUGGGGCCUGAGAUUCUGCAUUUUCAGCAAGCUCCCAGGUGAUGCU